This 341-nucleotide long non-coding RNA is filed under the name Aquilegia coerulea. RNAcentral's name for it is "long non-coding RNA (ACOE_LNC000663)". Lineage: Eukaryota; Viridiplantae; Streptophyta; Magnoliopsida; Ranunculales; Ranunculaceae. The record is from RNAcentral.
AUUGGUUGCUGAACAAGUGGAAAGAUUUGGUGGACCUGAUAUCUGAUCUGAGUGUUGAGUGGAAGGAUUUGGCGGACCUGAACAAGUGGAAGGAUUUGGUGGACCUGAUAUCUGAUAUGAGUGUUGAGUGGAAGGAUUUGGUGGACCUGAUAUCUGAUCUGAGUGUUGAGUUCCACUUUUAGUUGUAAAACACUCUUAAAACACUGUGAUGUAUUGGGAACUCCACUUGCUAUUGUUUGAUGUCGAAAUAAUCUUAAUACAAUUUGAUGUCAUAUAAAUCAAUAUUGAUAUUUUAGGUCCUUUCUUUGCCUUAUUGUUCAAUUGAGUUUGUUUUUCCAUUG